GCGCUUCUCUCGACGCCCAGGGCGCUGUUCUUGGAUCGAUCCAACAGGUACGAUCUCCAUCCAGACCUGCAUUGGGCAUGCUGCAAGGUCGCCGGGCGUCGAUCGAGAGCAUCACAAAAUCGUCGUACAAGAGUGCCUUUAGCUACGCAAAUUGUCACUAGUCUUGUGGCUGAUCAAGAAGGAACUGGACAGGGUAAAUUGAUUUCUCAAGGCUCAUUCACUAACAACUCGUUCUAGUGUCAAGCGGCUGUCUUCUUUUCUUUCAAGUCAGUGGUAGCCGGCUCUAGACAGCAACGGAGAACUGUCGUCAUCGCCCGUUGUUUAGAAUAAGCGGACGCCAAGUGCAUCAUGAGUGACUUCAUCGAGCUUAGUCGAUCAUUGCUUGUAACCUGCGGCCCAAGCUCACAGGACACUCCCACGUAGAGCAAUUUCUCUUCGCUGGUUUGCUGAUGCAGCUGCUUGCUUCAACGUAAAUGGCUCCCACUGCUUAGCGACAGCAUUUGGGAUGCCGUACGUGGUGGUUUCUUCUUUGGAGGAACUGAAUCCUGGAGGGCUGAUUCAACUAACAACGAUCACGCUCUUUGCCAAUAGAUGCACUCUAAGGACACAGGCCUUCUCUGUAAGUCCGACACGCACAUUGAAGCUGGAUGUUCUACUUCGUCAGUCUGUUUCUACAUUCUGCUCCUGGCAAGAUGGAGCUCAACCAUUACAGGUCUUGCAGGUCGACGAGGUUGCUAAAGCGGAUGGAAUAUGUCCCUCGAAACUAUAUGCCCAGAGGAUCAGGUGAUGGUUUUCGCUGGGAGUUCUCCGGCAAGAGUGUUAAAGCUCGCCUCCAUCAAAGUAGCACACCUUUGGAGGGAGGCAAACAUAGAUCAGCAUCCAGGCGAUUGUUUUGUAGGAGCAAGCUUUCUAUGGUGGUGAGAUUGUUGGAGCUGAGAUCCAGGUACCUCAUGAGAAGUCCAAAACGCGCUGGUACCUCACCUGGUUGCUUCCGUCUAUCUCUUCUUCGGAUGCCGACAUAAGGGGACGGAUUCAACAAACAACUAGUCGGACAUGAAAGUCCCCAAGGUAAACGUGUUUUUGUUUGUGUCUGUUCUGCGUUUCCUACCAGCCAGGCGUGCGGCCUGACCAUGUGAAAAACUCGAUCCGCUUGUCUUUAUCAAGGUUAAAUGAGUAAAUCUUUGCUUACUUUCU
Selaginella moellendorffii is the source of this 1194-nucleotide long non-coding RNA. RefSeq lists it as uncharacterized. NCBI's taxonomy places the organism in Eukaryota, Viridiplantae, Streptophyta, Lycopodiopsida, Selaginellales, Selaginellaceae. The transcript has 5 exons. The record is from RefSeq and is a predicted model, not a curated record.